RNAcentral lists this ribosomal RNA (468 nucleotides) under uncultured bacterium. Its description in RNAcentral is "partial 16S ribosomal RNA". It matches the Rfam family "Bacterial small subunit ribosomal RNA", at positions 28 to 507 of the family's 1533-position model. The record is from RNAcentral.
GACGAACGCUGGCGGCGUGCUUAACACAUGCAAGUCGAACGGAAAGGCCCUGCUUUUGUGGGGUGCUCGAGUGGCGAACGGGUGAGUAACACGUGAGUAACCUGCCCUUGACUUUGGGAUAACUUCAGGAAACUGGGGCUAAUACCGGAUAGGAGCUCCUGCUGCAUGGUGGGGGUUGGAAAGUUUCGGCGGUUGGGGAUGGACUCGCGGCUUAUCAGCUUGUUGGUGGGGUAGUGGCUUACCAAGGCUUUGACGGGUAGCCGGCCUGAGAGGGUGACCGGCCACCUUGGGACUGAGAUACGGCCCAGACGGCUACGGGAGGCAGCAGUGGGGAAUAUUGCACAAUGGGCGGAAGCCUGAUGCAGCAACGCCGCGUGCGGGAUGACGGCCUUCGGGUUGUAAACCGCUUUCGCCUGUGACGAAGCGUGAGUGACGGUAAUGGGUAAAGAAGCACCGGCUAACUACGUG